RNAcentral lists this ribosomal RNA (181 nucleotides) under uncultured bacterium. Its description in RNAcentral is "partial 16S ribosomal RNA". It matches the Rfam family "Bacterial small subunit ribosomal RNA", at positions 1319 to 1500 of the family's 1533-position model. The record is from RNAcentral.
CAUGAAGCUGGAAUUGCUAGUAAUGGCAGGUCAGCAUACUGCCGUGAAUACGUUCCCGGGCCUUGUACACACCGCCCGUCACACCAUGAGAGUUGGGAAUACCCGAAGCCUGUGAGCUAACUUAUAGAGGCAGCAGUCGAAGGUAGAAUCAAUGAUUGGGGUGAAGUCGUAACAAGGUACC